GAACCACCUAACUGUGGUCUAGGUUAGGUCUCCCCAUGUCCUCAUGGCUAGGUUUCCUGGGCAGGCAUCCUGAGAGAGCAUGAGUCAGCUGGAAGCUUCAUGGCCAUUUUAUAUACAGCCCAGAAUGCAGUCUCACUUUCCCACAUUGUAAUUGCUGAGGCUGUCACAGGUUCCACCCCCACUUCAAGAGAAGGGGAGAAAGUGCAUGAGCAUCUGAAAUUGGAACUGGUCCCAGUCUGGUGGCAGGUGCUGGUCAUCCCAGAACACAGGAGGCUGAGGCUGACUGUGAGUUCAAGGCCACUCUAAGCCCUGUAGAGAGAGUAAAAACAUACACUAAAAAUAACUAAGUGAACAGACAUUGAUAAAUUACCAGCUGAAAAGACUGAUCCACCAUUAACUGCCACCAGUGACGGAUGAGUCGGCCGCUCAAAGCUCACGGACACUGAUGACCCUGCGGUUUUCAUCCCUGUCCUCUGACAGGUUCUCACACUUCUGUGGCGAGUACUGAGCCAUUUCCCUAGCCUGACUGAUCCUUCUUUAAAGAUGGGCUCUCACUAUGUAACCCAAGCUGGCGAUGAAUUCCCAAUCCUCCUGCAUCAGCCUCCCAAGUGAGAGAUGACAGCUGUACACCACCGUGUCUGGCCUCAGUGGUCUCUUUAACACCAGUCACGGCAUUUCCACCCCAGACCUCUCACAGACAAGACACCCUUCAGACACUGUCACCGAAUAAUGGCAGUGUUGCAUGAGCCCUGACAACUGCCAUCUGAGAUUUGUGGACAAUGAACUUACCGUCAGAUGCGUGGCACGUACCUAUGUUGAGUUGUUAGCAAUGCUGUUGUCCCCCAUGCUCCUUUGUA
Peromyscus eremicus (cactus mouse) is the source of this 857-nucleotide long non-coding RNA. RefSeq lists it as uncharacterized. NCBI's taxonomy places the organism in Eukaryota, Metazoa, Chordata, Mammalia, Rodentia, Cricetidae. The transcript is spliced from 4 exons. The record is from RefSeq and is a predicted model, not a curated record.